GACGAACGCUGGCGGCGUGCCUAAUACAUGCAAGUCGAACGCAUUUUCUUUCACCGUAGCUUGCUACACCGAAAGAAAAUGAGUGGCGGACGGGUGAGUAACACGUGGGUAACCUGCCCAUCAGCGGGGGAUAACACUUGGAAACAGGUGCUAAUACCGCAUAAUUCCAUUUACCGCAUGGUAGAUGGGUGAAAGGCGCUUUUGCGUCACUGAUGGAUGGACCCGCGGUGCAUUAGCUAGUUGGUGGGGUAACGGCCUACCAAGGCUGCGAUGCAUAGCCGACCUGAGAGGGUGAUCGGCCACACUGGGACUGAGACACGGCCCAGACUCCUACGGGAGGCAGCAGUAGGGAAUCUUCGGCAAUGGACGCAAGUCUGACCGAGCAACGCCGCGUGAGUGAAGAAGGUUUUCGGAUCGUAAAACUCUGUUGUUAGAGAAGAACAAGGAUGAGAGUGGAAAGUUCAUCCCUUGACGGUAUCUAACCAGAAAGCCACGGCUAACUACGUG
This 507-nucleotide ribosomal RNA is filed under the name uncultured bacterium. Its description in RNAcentral is "partial 16S ribosomal RNA". It matches the Rfam family "Bacterial small subunit ribosomal RNA", at positions 28 to 507 of the family's 1533-position model. The record is from RNAcentral.